AGUGAACGCUGGCGGUAGGCCUAACACAUGCAAGUCGAACGGCAGCACAGGAGAGCUUGCUCUCUGGGUGGCGAGUGGCGGACGGGUGAGGAAUACAUCGGAAUCUACUUUUUCGUGGGGGAUAACGUAGGGAAACUUACGCUAAUACCGCAUACGACCUACGGGUGAAAGCAGGGGACCUUCGGGCCUUGCGCGAUUGAAUGAGCCGAUGUCGGAUUAGCUAGUUGGUGGGGUAAAGGCCCACCAAGGCGACGAUCCGUAGCUGGUCUGAGAGGAUGAUCAGCCACACUGGAACUGAGACACGGUCCAGACUCCUACGGGAGGCAGCAGUGGGGAAUAUUGGACAAUGGGCGCAAGCCUGAUCCAGCCAUACCGCGUGGGUGAAGAAGGCCUUCGGGUUGUAAGGCCCUUUUGUUGGGAAAGAAAUCCAGCUGGCUAAUACCCGGUUGGGAUGACGGUACCCAAAGAAUAAGCACCGGCUAACUUCGUGCCAGCCGCCGCAGUAA
RNAcentral lists this ribosomal RNA (506 nucleotides) under uncultured bacterium. Its description in RNAcentral is "partial 16S ribosomal RNA". It matches the Rfam family "Bacterial small subunit ribosomal RNA", at positions 29 to 523 of the family's 1533-position model. The record is from RNAcentral.